CUUGUGCCUUCUGUCGAUUCCUCACUCACCAGCCCGAGGAAUCCUUGCACAGAAGUCAGAUCACAUUCCUUCCCUGUUGUCAAGGGAAGAAGACAAAUGGGCAUGAGAAGGAGAGGAUCAGGGGCUUGGAAGCCAAGAUUUUGCCAAUUUGACUUAUGCAACUUGGGCAAAAAAAAAAAUUGAGCCUCAGUCUUUUCAUCUGUGAAAUAGGGAUAACAAACUCUGAUACGAGGGGUCAGUAGUGACAAGGAUGUGAAAGCAGCCACGAUGGCAUGGCAGGGCCUAUCUGGAGUUUGGCCUUUGCAGGGGGGUAGAUGACACCCUUGUGUGUUCUAGGUCCUUUGAGAUACAUUAUCUCACUGAAGCCUCAGCAACUCCGCGGUGUUCCCAGAGGUGAGGAAACACACUGAGAGACAGAACACGACUUGACCAGGGCCACCCUGUGGGGCACGCUGGCACCUGCACAGCCCAGCUUCACCUGGUUCCAGCCCUGCCCGCGCUCUGCUCCCCACUUCCCGUAACCCUGGGCUGGCGUCAGCAGGCAGGCCUGCCAGGAGGCUGGAGCUGCCAACGACCUAUUUUUCUGGGCAAGAAGAGCCAUUUGGAGUUAGAGGUCUCAGCUGUGAAGCCAGAACAAUAAAAAUAAAAACAGCACGGACUCCUGGGCAGCCUGGACCAGGGAACCAACUGCCCCAAGAGUUGCUGCUCACCAGGCUGGAAGGUCCCAGGUGAUACUGACGCUACUGAUUCAGGGAUCACACUUUGAGAACCGCUGAAUAGACUGCCAUUCAAGCCAAGAUGAGAAAACUGAGGCACAGAGAACUUAAGGAGCUUGUCCAAGAGCCCACACCUUGAGAGCUCCAGAGCCAGGCUGCCAAUCCUCUUGGCUCUACCUUCAAAAUAAACCCAGAAUCCAACCACUCCUUCCCACCUGCAUCACACUCCGGUCCC
Molecule: long non-coding RNA, 951 nt
Filed under: Homo sapiens (human)
Lineage: Eukaryota; Metazoa; Chordata; Mammalia; Primates; Hominidae
Description: HSALNT0263463
Source: RNAcentral